This is a long non-coding RNA of Armigeres subalbatus, 1752 nucleotides long. RefSeq lists it as uncharacterized. NCBI's taxonomy places the organism in Eukaryota, Metazoa, Arthropoda, Insecta, Diptera, Culicidae. The record is from RefSeq and is a predicted model, not a curated record. The transcript is spliced from 5 exons.
AAUUUUUCGGUUUUCUUGUUUUAAUAGUUAGGUACAUGAAAAUAUUUCCUCCAAAAUAGAUCAGCAGAUCCCUGGUUCUAUGCGUCCCACAUCCAGGAGGAUAUCUUCCACCAAAAAAAGCGGAAGUGGAUUCGGUUAAAAAAAGCAUACCCGUCGCAGACAAUCCUUUGGAAAAAGAGGAUCCUGGCUUUUUGUUUCCCGUUUCUUUGUUGGCUUAGGUUUGUCGAUAGUAUUGAGAAGGUAGGUAGAUUCCUUAUUUUGUAGUGCUGUGCUAAUUAAUCAUUACUUUUUGUUUACUCUUCCAUCACGGAGUCCAAUUUGUGAGAGGUGGCUUUGGGGAAAAGACCAGCUAAAGACAGUCUGUGUAAGCGACCUGGUGAGCGACCAUUGAUUCGUCGAGAAAAGGAAAUCCGGGGCCACCAAGUCUCUUGGUUUAUAACCAGUGUCGCUGCCUCAGUGAUUUUACCCGAAAGCGAGUCGAACGAAGUGCUCCUUAAUGACUCGGAGGAAAUUAGUGGUUCUAAAAGCGAACACCAUCUAAAACACACGAUGAAACCAAGGAAUCGUGCUACCAGUCCCCACGGGAGGGGGUGGAAAGACGAUUUGCUAUGACAAAAGAUUUCGCUUUCAUUCAGCCGGGUGCGUUGGAUCCUCCCUGAUUGCGGUGCUGGAUCGUCGUACGAGGCAGAUACUGUGUGGGGAGCGAUAUUUUUGGUGGCCGGUCUGGAUGCGUUGGCUAAUGCCUUGAUGGCUUGAGGCCUGUUGGGCUUGGAAGGAGUACGGUCAUGUUCCUCCGGAUGGAGGGGUUGGACCAUCGCCGCUUAGUUCGGUGGCACUCGAGUUCCCUUUGGCGGCGCGGCAUCACACGACGAAAAAUCCCGGUGGUGCCCUAUGGGUAUUGCCGCGCCGAUCAACCAAGGGGGCCCUUCAUCGGUUUAUCCGGUUAGGGCAUCGAGUGUCGGCAACCGAAACAGGGCCGCCAGGUAAGAUAGUGUCUAACCCAAUUUUUUUGUUUGUAUUUUUUAAGUUUCGUAUGGUAGACUAUUGGAGGUAUGUACCGCUGAUGUCGAUGGACUGGAAACAAGUACUAGUAGUUAUCACUAUCGAUAGUAUGAGGGAUGUUAGACCGAACUAUACCAUUAAAGUCGAUGCAGCGUUGUCAUGUAAGGCAGAUUUGACAAUUCUUCAGUGCCGUAGUCAAAGGAAACAGUAGUCACCCGAUGGCGAGCAAAAACGUGGGAACAAUAUUCGUAUGGUUGCUUUUUGGCGGGAUCAUCCAGUAGUGACUAUGAUCAAUUGGCAGCGAUGGUGACCCCAUGUAUAAUCGCAGCAUCGCAGUUCGAUACAACAGGAUCAACAAUGAGAAAAGUAACAAAACAGAUAAUCCACGAUUAUUCUUCGCUGAUCCUAUUCGAAAUCAACAUGCCAUCGUUCCCGGGACUUUAUGGCCUGAACUACCCGAGUAGUGGACUACUGUUAAGGUUUCACAAAGUAAUAAACUUAGGGGAAGAUUCUAAUUUUUAUAUUAUUAUUCCAAAAAAAAGUCACAUUCCGAAGAAAAAUCGCCCUAAAUAAUAUUUUGUGAUAUUUUUUUGUGGGAUAUGCUGUUUUUCACGAUUUUCCAGCUUGGAAAACUUGUGCCAUUCACCUCGUAAUACACUCAUUAUUAUCUGUUUUGGUUAUUUAAUAUGUGUGCAAAAUGUAAAUGAAAAGAAGGAAAAAUAAAUAAUAUAAAUUACAUCAAUAUUAGAA